GAUUAACGUUGGCGGCGUGCAUAACACAUGCAAGUUGAGCGUCGGCCGUUAGUUUACUAAGGUCUAGCAGCGGACGGCUGAGUAAUGAACAGAACGUACCUCGAAGUGGGCAUAGCCUCUCGAAAGAGAGGGUAAUACCGCAUGUGGUGGAAACACCAAAGCAGCAAUGCGCUUUGAGAGCGGCCUGUUUCCUAUCAGGUUGUUGGUGA
Molecule: ribosomal RNA, 209 nt
Filed under: uncultured bacterium
Lineage: Bacteria
Description: partial 16S ribosomal RNA
Rfam family: Bacterial small subunit ribosomal RNA
Source: RNAcentral